Molecule: ribosomal RNA, 256 nt
Filed under: uncultured bacterium
Lineage: Bacteria
Description: partial 16S ribosomal RNA
Rfam family: Bacterial small subunit ribosomal RNA
Source: RNAcentral
UACGUAGGUGGCAAGCGUUAUCCGGAAUUAUUGGGCGUAAAGCGCGCGCAGGCGGUUUCUUAAGUCUGAUGUGAAAGCCCACGGCUCAACCGUGGAGGGUCAUUGGAAACUGGGGAACUUGAGUGCAGAAGAGAAAAGCGGAAUUCCACGGUGUAGCGGUGAAAUGCGUAGAGAUGUGGAGGAACACCAGUGGCGAAGGCGGCUUUUUGGUCUGUAACUGACGCUGAGGCGCGAAAAGCGUGGGGAGCAAACAGGG